Long non-coding RNA from Dipodomys spectabilis (banner-tailed kangaroo rat), 434 nucleotides. RefSeq lists it as uncharacterized. Lineage: Eukaryota; Metazoa; Chordata; Mammalia; Rodentia; Heteromyidae. The record is from RefSeq and is a predicted model, not a curated record. The transcript is spliced from 3 exons.
GUGUGCUUUGUGCUCCAGAGUCCUGGGAUAUGAUCAGGCUGAGGUGAAACUUUGGGUGAGACCACAUUCUUGUCUAACCUGCUUUCUUCCUCAUCUGUUUCUCCAGAGAGGACACCCUCCAUGCACUACAUGCUCUGGUUUAAGAUAAGUUUUGUAAAGAGAUGACCUGUAUCAUAGAAGCCAAAAGUCCAACUGUUUCCUCAUUGGCUGGAGCUGGCCUACUUUGCCUUCUUGACUCACAGAUCCAGAUCUGAAGGAUCAAUUUAUAGAGAAAUAGAGCUACAAAAGGGAGUGUUUCUGGGAUGAAAGCCCCAAAGUUGUCUUCUUGAGACCAGAUGGGAUGAGAUUGAGAUUGGAGGAAGGUCUUAUAGCUCUCCUGAUACAAACAUUCAGAGCUGUUAUGAAGAAUUACAUGAGAUGGACAAUUUUCUGGC